GAUGAACGCUGGCGGCGUGCCUAAUACAUGCAAGUAGAACGCUGAAGGAGGAGCUUGCUCUUCUGGAUGAGUUGCGAACGGGUGAGUAACGCGUAGGUAACCUGCCUGGUAGCGGGGGAUAACUAUUGGAAACGAUAGCUAAUACCGCAUGACAACAGUUAUUGCAUGAUAACUGUUUAAAAGGGGCAACUGCUCCACUACCAGAUGGACCUGCGUUGUAUUAGCUAGUUGGUGAGGUAACGGCUCACCAAGGCGACGAUACAUAGCCGACCUGAGAGGGGGAUCGGCCACACUGGGACUGAGACACGGCCCAGACUCCUACGGGAGGCAGCAGUAGGGAAUCUUCGGCAAUGGACGGAAGGCUGACCGAGCAACGCCGCGUGAGUGAAGAAGGUUUUCGGAUCGUAAAGCUCGGUUGUAAGAGAAGAACGAGUGUGAGAGUGGAAAGUUCACACUGUGACGGUAUCUUACCAGAAAGGGACGGCUAACUACGUG
Molecule: ribosomal RNA, 495 nt
Filed under: uncultured bacterium
Lineage: Bacteria
Description: partial 16S ribosomal RNA
Rfam family: Bacterial small subunit ribosomal RNA
Source: RNAcentral